GCAAGUCGAGCGAACAGAUAAGGAGCUUGCUCCUUUGACGUUAGCGGCGGACGGGUGAGUAACACGUGGGUAACCUACCUAUAAGACUGGGAUAACUUCGGGAAACCGGAGCUAAUACCGGAUAACAUUUGGAACCGCAUGGUUCUAAAGUGAAAGAUGGUUUUGCUAUCACUUAUAGAUGGACCCGCGCCGUAUUAGCUAGUUGGUAAGGUAACGGCUUACCAAGGCAACGAUACGUAGCCGACCUGAGAGGGUGAUCGGCCACACUGGAACUGAGACACGGUCCAGACUCCUACGGGAGGCAGCAGUAGGGAAUCUUCCGCAAUGGGCGAAAGCCUGACGGAGCAACGCCGCGUGAGUGAUGAAGGGUUUCGGCUCGUAAAACUCUGUUAUUAGGGAAGAACAAACGUGUAAGUAACUGUGCACGUCUUGACGGUACCUAAUCAGAAAGCCACGGCUAACUACGUGCCAGCAGCCGCGGUAAUACGUAGGUGGCAAGCGUUAUCCGGAAUUAUUGGGCGUAAAGCGCGCGUAGGCGGUUUCUUAAGUCUGAUGUGAAAGCCCACGGCUCAACCGUGGAGGGUCAUUGGAAACUGGGAAACUUGAGUGCAGAAGAGGAAAGUGGAAUUCCAUGUGUAGCGGUGAAAUGCGCAGAGAUAUGGAGGAACACCAGUGGCGAAGGCGACUUUCUGGUCUGUAACUGACGCUGAUGUGCGAAAGCGUGGGGAUCAAACAGGAUUAGAUACCCUGGUAGUCCACGCCGUAAACGAUGAGUGCUAAGUGUUAGGGGGUUUCCGCCCCUUAGUGCUGCAGCUAACGCAUUAAGCACUCCGCCUGGGGAGUACGACCGCAAGGUUGAAACUCAAAGGAAUUGACGGGGACCCGCACAAGCGGUGGAGCAUGUGGUUUAAUUCGAAGCAACGCGAAGAACCUUACCAAAUCUUGACAUCCUUUGAAAACUCUAGAGAUAGAGCCUUCCCCUUCGGGGGACAAAGUGACAGGUGGUGCAUGGUUGUCGUCAGCUCGUGUCGUGAGAUGUUGGGUUAAGUCCCGCAACGAGCGCAACCCUUAAGCUUAGUUGCCAUCAUUAAGUUGGGCACUCUAGGUUGACUGCCGGUGACAAACCGGAGGAAGGUGGGGAUGACGUCAAAUCAUCAUGCCCCUUAUGAUUUGGGCUACACACGUGCUACAAUGGACAAUACAAAGGGCAGCUAAACCGCGAGGUCAUGCAAAUCCCAUAAAGUUGUUCUCAGUUCGGAUUGUAGUCUGCAACUCGACUACAUGAAGCUGGAAUCGCUAGUAAUCGUAGAUCAGCAUGCUACGGUGAAUACGUUCCCGGGUCUUGUACACACCGCCCGUCACACCACGAGAGUUUGUAACACCCGAAGCCGGUGGAGUAACCAUUUAUGGAGCUAGCCGU
RNAcentral lists this ribosomal RNA (1420 nucleotides) under Staphylococcus saprophyticus. Its description in RNAcentral is "bacterial SSU rRNA". It matches the Rfam family "Bacterial small subunit ribosomal RNA". Lineage: Bacteria; Bacillati; Bacillota; Bacilli; Caryophanales; Staphylococcaceae. The record is from RNAcentral.